AGGAUGAACGCUGGCGGCGUGCUUAACACAUGCAAGUCGAACGGGAUCCCAGGAGCUUGCUCCUGGGUGAGGUGGCGAACGGGUGAGUAAUGCGUGACCGACCUGCCCCAUACACCGGAAUAGCUCCUGGAAACGGGUGGUAAUGCCGGAUGCUCCAGUUGGAUGCAUGUCCUUCUGGGAAAGAUUCAUCGGUAUGGGAUGGGGUCGCGUCCUAUCAGCUUGAUGGCGGGGUAACGGCCCACCAUGGCUUCGACGGGUAGCCGGCCUGAGAGGGCGACCGGCCACAUUGGGACUGAGAUACGGCCCAGACUCCUACGGGAGGCAGCAGUGGGGAAUAUUGCACAAUGGGCGCAAGCCUGAUGCAGCGACGCCGCGUGCGGGAUGACGGCCUUCGGGUUGUAAACCGCUUUUGACUGGGAGCAAGCCCUUCGGGGUGAGUGUACCUUUCGAAUAAGCACCGGCUAACUACGUGCCAGCAGCCGCGGUAAUACGUAGGGUGCAAGCGUUAUCCG
RNAcentral lists this ribosomal RNA (512 nucleotides) under Bifidobacterium adolescentis L2-32. RNAcentral's name for it is "SSU rRNA". It matches the Rfam family "Bacterial small subunit ribosomal RNA", at positions 26 to 547 of the family's 1533-position model. The record is from RNAcentral. Lineage: Bacteria; Bacillati; Actinomycetota; Actinomycetes; Bifidobacteriales; Bifidobacteriaceae.